CAAUUCUCUACCCAACUCUCCCCUGAGUUCUGAUUAUUGUGUCAAAACUACUCACAGAAUGCUGGUUCCUGGUAUUCCACAGACUGUAAUGCAAUUGAAGGAUUGAAGGUAGGGACUGAACCUCAUGCAUCUGUGAGUUCACAGCAUCUACAAAGCUUGGUGUGCAGUUGUAGGGAUGUAUAUGUGAACUCUUGGUUAGCGGAGUGCAAAAACACUGAAUUUAAAUUUAAAAGAUGAAGCUUAGGUGUUGACUCCAUCAUUUAUCAGCUGUGUGACUUUGGGUCUUGUUCAGUUUGCUGUGUUCUCUACUGCCAUCUGGUGGUCAAGAAGGAUCAAUCACUGCCCUUGCAAUGAAGAACUCUAUGAAAGCGAAGGCUUGGCCAUUUUGUGUUCAGCUCCUUCCAAUGAUGAGGAACAAAGAGGGAACAACUUUUAAAAGAUGACAGGGAUUCAAACACAGGACUGUUUGACUCAAGCUCCAAAUCCUUCCAUUCUACUAGUUGGCCAUAACUACACCCACGACUGCACUUCAGACUCCUGAUAACCAAGCCCCAAGAAUGGAAACUGUUUUAGUGGGAUUAAUACCCAAAGCUGACUAGAAGUUCCCUGAUCCACUUUUGUUGCUAGCAUUCUGGGCAGGAAUCUUUCAAGCCAUUGAGUUA
RNAcentral lists this long non-coding RNA (662 nucleotides) under Homo sapiens (human). RNAcentral describes it as "HSALNT0320286". Lineage: Eukaryota; Metazoa; Chordata; Mammalia; Primates; Hominidae. The record is from RNAcentral.